UGGAUUAGGCAUGCAAGUCGUACGUCCACUCUUACUUCGGUUCGGGUGGAGUGGCGAAAGGGUGAGUAAUGCAUAGACAACCCACCCCUGGCUCUGGGACAACUGGGAGAAAUUCCAGCUAAUACCGGAUAGGCUCGGACGGUCGCAUGGCUGGCCGAGUAAAGGAGGCCUCUCAACGAUGCUUCCAGCUGAGGACGGGUCUAUGUCCUAUCAGCUAGUUGGUAGGGUAAUGGCCUACCAAGGCUUAGACGGGUAGCCGACCUGAGAGGGUGACCGGCCACACUGGGACUGAGAUACUGCCCAGACUCCUACGGGAGGCUGCAGUCGAGGAUCUUCCGCAAUGGGGGCAACCCUGACGGAGCGACGCCGCGUGCGGGAUGAAGGCCUUCGGGUUGUAAACCGC
RNAcentral lists this ribosomal RNA (403 nucleotides) under uncultured organism. RNAcentral describes it as "bacterial SSU rRNA". It matches the Rfam family "Bacterial small subunit ribosomal RNA", at positions 45 to 433 of the family's 1533-position model. The record is from RNAcentral.